Molecule: microRNA precursor, 87 nt
Filed under: Pteropus vampyrus (large flying fox)
Lineage: Eukaryota; Metazoa; Chordata; Mammalia; Chiroptera; Pteropodidae
Source: RNAcentral
GUCUAUGGCCAUGCCACCCUGAACAUGCCCAAUCUCAUCUGAUCUCAGAAGCUAAGCAGGGUCGGGCCUGGUUAGUACUUGGAUGGG